This 495-nucleotide ribosomal RNA is filed under the name uncultured bacterium. Its description in RNAcentral is "partial 16S ribosomal RNA". It matches the Rfam family "Bacterial small subunit ribosomal RNA", at positions 28 to 507 of the family's 1533-position model. The record is from RNAcentral.
GACGAACGCUGGCGGCGUGCCUAAUACAUGCAAGUAGAACGCUGAAGGAGGAGCUUGCUUCUCUGGAUGAGUUGCGAACGGGUGAGUAACGCGUAGGUAACCUGCCUGGUAGCGGGGGAUAACUAUUGGAAACGAUAGCUAAUACCGCAUAAGAGUAGAUGUUGCAUGACAUUUGCUUAAAAGGUGCAAUUGCAUCACUACCAGAUGGACCUGCGUUGUAUUAGCUAGUUGGUGGGGUAACGGCUCACCAAGGCGACGAUACAUAGCCGACCUGAGAGGGUGAUCGGCCACACUGGGACUGAAACACGGCCCAGACUCCUACGGGGGGGAGCAGUAGGGAAUCUUCGGCAAUGGGCGGAAGUCUGACCGAGCAACGCCGCGUGAGUGAAGAAGGUUUUCGGGUCGUAAAGCUCUGUUGUAAGAGAAGAACGAGUGUGAGAGUGGAAAGUUCACACUGUGACGGUAUCUUACCAGAAAGGGACGGCUAACUACGUG